RNAcentral lists this long non-coding RNA (1152 nucleotides) under Anser cygnoides (Swan goose). Its description in RNAcentral is "lncRNA (ENSACDG00005003978.1)". The record is from RNAcentral. Lineage: Eukaryota; Metazoa; Chordata; Aves; Anseriformes; Anatidae.
UUGUACAUGUGCUGAGUGUUGUUGACUUGUUAAUGUGGUGUUGCCUUCAAAGACAAGCUGUAAACUGACACGGAGAAUUUAUCACUGGGCAGAUUGACUCAGACAUCCCAUCCAUUCACAAAGCUUGCAUAUGACAAUGGAAGGAAGUUGUCUUGGGAAGGAGGAGAAUCUCAGCCACCUACAAGACAGUCUAUUUCCUACUGCAAUAUGUGAAGGAAGCUCUGUCCAGGCCCUUCUCAAUCCCUACCGAGGAGGUGAGCUACAAAUGGAUUCCAAAGGCAUCAUUUCUCAUGUAUCAUUCUGCACUGCUGUGAGUACUGAUAUACACUGAUAACUGCUGUUUGCCUGUCCAGCUCUAGGGUCGGGGGGGAAGCAGACGAAUGUUGUGUUAUGACACCUUCUAUGCAUAGUGCUAGUCUUUGGCCACCCACUUUCAGCACAGCCAUAUUCUGACCACCAAGAUUUUAUGUUCUUGCUCUUUUCUCACUAUAAUAAUGAUUAUUGCCUUAUCUACAUUUGAGAGUAUGUAACAGGAUUUUUUUUUUUGUCAAUGAUCUCUUUUAUUCCUUGCGUUGUGUUUGUUCUGCUUCUGAUUUUCUUGUAUAUUUCUUACUUGUUUGUUGGAGGAUGCAUAAUGGGAACUAAUGUUUUGUUGAUGAGGUCUUCAGCUUCCAGAAUAAGAAGCUAUAGCUUUUUUUUUUUUGUUUUUAUAUUUGACACAUUUCCUAAAAAAUGACUAGGAGGAGUUACUGUUUCUCAUCCACAUCCAGUUAUGUCACUUUGGCUGAGCCACAAUAACUGACUGUAUGUGUGCAUUAAGAAUUGAAGGAUUAAGUAAAAAAAGCUGGGAACAGGAAAACGUGCUUACAGUUGUUUACUGAAGCUCAGCUCCAUCUUAACUUCUUCAGCUAUAGCAACUUUAUUGAGCAUGUGUACUCUUAUUUGCCAUAGUUCUGGAUGCAGAAGGAGAGAUUCAGACUCUUUUGGUAGGUACGAGCACCGACUGUGGUGGUAGGUUAAUAGUACUGGAAAUGACAGUUUCCAGCUCUGUGAUGGAUGAUGCAGCAUUUUUAAAGCAGCUUGCAGACCAUUGCCUGGCACAGGACACUCUUCGGUAAUAAAGAAACGGUGCCAACAAGAUUGUACUUAAAU